AUACUUACCUGGCAGGGGAGAUACCAUGAUCACGAAGGUGGUUUUCCCAGGGUGAGGCUCAUCCAUUGCACUCUGGGUGUGCUGACCCCUGCGGUUUCCCCAAAUGCGGGAAACUCAACUGCAUAAUUUGUGGUAUGC
Molecule: small nuclear RNA, 138 nt
Filed under: Propithecus coquereli (Coquerel's sifaka)
Lineage: Eukaryota; Metazoa; Chordata; Mammalia; Primates; Indriidae
Description: U1 spliceosomal RNA (ENSPCOG00000026851.1)
Rfam family: U1 spliceosomal RNA
About the family: U1 is a small nuclear RNA (snRNA) component of the spliceosome (involved in pre-mRNA splicing). Its 5' end forms complementary base pairs with the 5' splice junction, thus defining the 5' donor site of an intron.
Source: Rfam by way of RNAcentral